Gadus macrocephalus (Pacific cod) is the source of this 205-nucleotide long non-coding RNA. RefSeq lists it as uncharacterized. Lineage: Eukaryota; Metazoa; Chordata; Actinopteri; Gadiformes; Gadidae. The transcript has 2 exons. The record is from RefSeq and is a predicted model, not a curated record.
AGCAAUUCCCUUUCUCUACCAACCACAUCUCUAAAGAAAACCUAAUGAUGCUGAAUGAAAGAGCCUGUCUGUCGUUCAGAGGGUUCGACAGCCAAGGAACAAGUCAUCAAACUGCUCCUCAACCGGGUCCACUAUAGAUUAUUCAACUUAAGUCUGUAUCUCGCUGUAUUACAUCCUGGAAUAAACCAUUUAUUCAACCCUCUGA